Molecule: non-coding RNA, 1681 nt
Organism: Peromyscus maniculatus bairdii (prairie deer mouse)
Lineage: Eukaryota; Metazoa; Chordata; Mammalia; Rodentia; Cricetidae
Source: RefSeq, a predicted model, not a curated record
CAGCCAUUAGAAUGACAAGCGAGCAAAGUCCAUGUUUUCCCCCUCCUUCCUUUCUCUUCUUCCCUUCAAACCCUCUAUCGUGAAAGGUCAGCUGAUAAAGCCUGCUUUUCUGAUGACUGCUAUGGAAUCCUAUUGGUUAAAAGACUGUGAGAAGCCAGCCCACCCACCCCAGCCCCCGUCAAACCAACUGUAAGUGUGUGUGGCUCUUGAGUCUGGAUGACAAAAACAUGUGGUUAAUUCUUCUUGUUGUGUAUUUCCUGCCGCUGACAUUUGUCACUGUCGCUGUGUAACGAGGUUGAGGCUGUGUAGGCGAACCCAACGCAAGUGACCUAUAUAUGUACCCCUCGCUGUCCCCACUCCUCUCAGCCACCGAUCUUGGAAUACCGGGGAGGAGAAUGAGGUGGCCAGGAACAUCAUCUAGAAUUGGCACGUCCUUCUAGCAACUCUUUCAGACUUCUAUUGUCUAAAUUGAUACGGCAUCUGAAGAAUAUGAAGAUUCAGCUUAAUAAAAUGGUGUGCGUUGUUUUGAAGAUUGUAAAUCAUAAACAAUUGUUAUUUGGUUUUGAUAAAGAGCCUGUGGUUUAAGUCAAGGUCACUCACUGUUGAACCUUACUGGAACCCUCCUCAGCAGCUUCCUGUGAGGAUGUCCGCGACAGUCUGCCGGUUCUACCCAAUCGGGUUUAAGCAAUAGACAAGAUCAUUUACAACAGCAUGUACCCACGAGAUUCCUGCCGAUGUGUGCUUUGUACUGAACUUUGAGAUUCUGGGAUGUCAGCAGGACAUGGAGGACACGACCUUCACGCAUCAGCAUCUUCUCCUGGAGCACAAGAGGACACGUGCCCUGGCACAAACAAGAAUGAUGACACAGAACUGGUCUACAGAUUCAAGAAACCAACUAUUGUGGCUUUAACUGACCAUGUCUACACACACAUAGAACCCAUGUCUGUUUCCAGUGGACAGGAGUGGCAUUUAGUUUCCAUGCCCACAUAUAGCUAAACAAAGAGCUACUCUCUCGCGUAUCUACGAUGGAUUCCUUUGGUCGGUUCAAAGCAGGGGUAAAAAGUGUCAAGAACUUCAAUGCUGUAAGAGAGCCAGUGAGAAGCUAGCUGAUUUGCCCUGGGCUAAGCUAAAUAGGACAUGGAACCAAUUUCAUUAUGGACCAGGAUGCUACUAACUUGAGUUCUGUAGACCACCUCCUAGAUUCCAUAAACCAGACUGAAGGCCAGCCCUGGCACGAGGCCCCUGAUGUGACAAGGCAGUCGAGUUACAGAGUUCAGUACUCUCAGAUGCUCCAGGAGGGGAGGCUUCCUUCAUGGUUCACGUCAGGACAAUGCAAACUGAGCUAUGCAUUUACUGUAAUUCCAAUCAGAUGAUUCUAUAAUUGGAAGGACACCAGUGGCGUUCUGUCUUCAGAGUCUUCUCCAUUAAGUGACUGAACAAGGGCCAGGGGACCUUUGCUUGUCCCAAAUGCAGAUCCUGAUACAGACUCGGGGAUGUGCAUGUCAUUAUGUUCUGCUCUAUUAUAGGAUCACGUUCCUUCAUCUCUCUGGGUAAGAUUGUGAAAUGUGAGCAGCAGUCAUUUCCCACAUAUUCUCAACAAAUUCUUACUAACUGUGGACCCAGCUAUGGAAAACAAAGGAAUAAAGUCAGUCUCUCUCUCUCUCUCUCUCUCUCUCUCUCU